GACGAACGCUGGCGGCGUGCUUAACACAUGCAAGUCGAACGGAAAGGCCUCUUUCGGGGGGUACUCGAGUGGCGAACGGGUGAGUAACACGUGAGUAACCUGCCCUUGACCUUGGGAUAACUUCAGGAAACUGGGGCUUAUACCGGAUAGGAGCUCCUGCUGCAUGGUGGGGGUUGGAAAGUUUCGGCGGUUGGGGAUGGACUCGCGGCUUAUCAGCUUGUUGGUGGGGUAGUGGCUUACCAAGGCUUUGACGGGUAGCCGGCCUGAGAGGGUGACCGGCCACAUUGGGACUGAGAUACGGCCCAGACUCCUACGGGAGGCAGCAGUGGGGAAUAUUGCACAAUGGGUGGAAGCCUGAUGCAGCAACGCCGUGUGCGGGAUGACGGCCUUCGGGUUGUAAACCGCUUUCGCUCAUGACGAAGCUUUGUGUGACGGUAGUGGGUGAAGAAGCACCGGCUAACUACGUG
RNAcentral lists this ribosomal RNA (467 nucleotides) under uncultured bacterium. RNAcentral describes it as "partial 16S ribosomal RNA". It matches the Rfam family "Bacterial small subunit ribosomal RNA", at positions 28 to 507 of the family's 1533-position model. The record is from RNAcentral.